RNAcentral lists this ribosomal RNA (468 nucleotides) under uncultured bacterium. RNAcentral's name for it is "partial 16S ribosomal RNA". It matches the Rfam family "Bacterial small subunit ribosomal RNA", at positions 28 to 507 of the family's 1533-position model. The record is from RNAcentral.
GACGAACGCUGGCGGCGUGCUUAACACAUGCAAGUCGAACGGAAAGGCCCUGCUUUUGUGGGGUGCUCGAGUGGCGAACGGGUGCGUAACACGUGAGUAACCUGCCCUUGACUUUGGGAUAACUUCAGGAAACUGGGGCUAAUACCGGAUAGGAGCUCCUGCUGCAUGGUGGGGGUUGGAAAGUUUCGGCGGUUGGGGAUGGACGCGCGGCUUAUCAGCUUGUUGGUGGGGUAGUGGCUUACCAAGGCUUUGACGGGUCGCCGGCCUGAGAGGGUGACCGGCCACAUGGGGCCUGAGAUACGGCCCAGACUCCUACGGGAGGCAGCAGUGGGGAAUAUUGCACAAUGGGCGGAAGCCUGAUGCAGCAACGCCGCGUGCGGGAUGACGGCCUUCGGGUUGUAAACCGCUUUCGCCUGUGACGAAGCGUGAGUGACGGUACUGGGUAAAGAAGCACCGGCUAACUACGUG